UGCUAAAGCGGAGAAAAUUGGGAAUCCCGGGCAGGACUGCCCGCUGCCCGUGCUGCCCGUUGAGUGGAUGAAAGAGCGUUCCUUACUCUAUAAAUAGAAGAGCCGUCCUAUGAAACGCAGUUUGCCGCUUUGGCUACUGAAAGCCGGGUGCGAAGGACAUAUAUCCUUGUAUCUCUUUCCUUCCAGCAGCUACCUCAUGGCUUCUCCCUUUGUUGUUGCUGCUGCACAAGCAUGCAAGGACCGCAACAAGAACAAUGCUUCGUUCCGCAGCAUGAAGCGAUCCUGGUCAUCGAAUGAGUCAUCAUAUGGCUCCAGCGCUGCGACGAAAUCCUGCGUCUGUGCUCCUGCCACGCACGCCGGAUCUUUCAAAUGCAGGCUCCACAGGGUGUGGAAUUAAGUUUGAUUUUGAUGGUAUGUUCCCGUAUGUGCAAAUGUUGUGCGAAGAUUCGAGGCGUUUUUCAAAAUUUCACCCAAAAAUUUGAAUAUGGAAUGUGAAUCAAACCAUGUUUGAAUUGAGGAUGACUUCCAACUGCUUCACAUUAGCAUUCCCGUCAACAUUAUGAAAGGUUGCAAAAUAUUUUCGUUCAUGGAUGCCUUCUCCAUGUAUAACCAAAUCAAGAUGGAGGAUUGAGGGAACACAUCUUUUGUCACCGCAUGUGGAAUUUGCUGCUGCUGACUUGUUGCAUUUAGGCUGGAGAAUGCCGAAUCUACAUAUUAGCGAGCCUUGCCAGAUUUAUCCCCGACGUGAUGAACAAGUAGAUGGAAGUGUAUGUGGGGACAACAUGAUUGUCAAAUUUCGAAGUAUCAAGGGACACUUCAAAAGUAUAAAGAAGCUCUUUGAUCAAUUAGAAAGGUACAGAAGCUCUGUUUGUUCCAUAGAUGCAGGAUUGAGUUGCUUGUGCUCUGAAUAUAGGGUUUGCAGACCAAAAAAAGUUGGUUCGGGCAUCUUUGGACAGUUUUGCAUUCGGUUUAUCAUUCGUAAUUUAUUAUGCUAAAGUUGCAAAUACACCAAACAUUUAGAGAGGAAUGCAAGUUAACAUCACUUAGAUAAGGCUGUGGAGGCUAUUCAUGUCUUCAUGGUGCAGGAUGUUUUCUGAAGGCAUCGUGAGGGCUGCACUUGCAGGCCAAACUCCAACUGCUCCUGGUGUUCUUCUAGGAUGGGUAGCAUCUUAGGCAGCCUGCACAUGUACCCUGGCUCAUCGAACAACCCCCCAUCCUCAUGCAUCCAAUAGCUUGCUCUUCCUCGAAGUUAAAAAUACAGUUGUGGAGAACAUUCUGACUCCAAAAAGAAUUUUUAUAGACACAGUUACAACUAUGAUAUCACACAUUGCAACUGACUCAGCUUUGGCAAUUUCCUGAACCCACAGAACUCGCAUUUCACUACAAAUUCAGUAUAGAGCUGCCAUUGAGAAAAGUGUUGGCAGAAGUGGGAAAAGUAAGGAAAGAUGAAGGUGAAAUCAGACUCUGUUUCCCAGCUUUGCAAGAGAAGAUCUUCAAUACCAGAUAGGUGGAUUCGUUGCUUAUGCUAAUGUCAUGCUUUACCACAUUGUAUUGGCAGCCGUUGAAAGCAAAUCCAUGACCAUUCACCAAUGAAAACAGCCGAGGUCUGAGGGAGCAACAUGCACAUCCCCUCUAUUCAUGUAACAGAGAACCAGGCAACUGCACGAAUUGACAAUCAACCAGUAAUUUUCUAACAAGGUGAGGGGUUGCAGACAACGAAGGACCAUGAUCACAGAUGAAAUGGCAGAUGUUCUUGCAUCGGUUAGUUUGUAAUAUGAAUGGGUGCAAUGGGAGACUGGACAAUCUGACGUGAUUUUUACCACAUUGUCUUCACACUAAUCAGUCUCAUCCAUCUAAUGCAGAAAGACAAUUUUCCUGUGGCUGUGGUUCCUUUUUUUUUUUUUUGCAUGUUCAUUAGAAACUACAGCAAUGGGAGAUGACAAUAUCUGGGCAUUUGUGUAUGUCAGGUAAGUAAAGGGUCCUUUCUUGUGAAUAGACUGUAAUCCUGGCAGAACUCGAUGGGGAUGAGAAGAUGGUUUGUGUAAGAUGAUAUGAUUUUCUUAUUUUAACUGAAGAGAA
Molecule: RNA transcript, 2079 nt
Organism: Magnolia sinica
Lineage: Eukaryota; Viridiplantae; Streptophyta; Magnoliopsida; Magnoliales; Magnoliaceae
Exons: 5
Source: RefSeq, a predicted model, not a curated record